CCUGUUCCAGGAAGGGGAAAUGUGAAUAAAAAUAAUGUACCAUACACAGUAUCUUUAGCAAAAUCCACAUAAAUAUUUUAUAGCCUGUACAGUAAAUAAUGUAUAUGUUUAGAAAAGCAAUGUAAAUAUUUUAUAGGCUGCAGAGUAACUGUUAAGGUUGAAAUGAAAUCACUAUGUUUGGAGAAAUACGGCAUGCCCUAAAUGGUACCACACAAUUUUACUGUAGCUUAGCGCAGUACACUUCAUAAAUCAUGGCAUUCUCUGCAUUACCUGGGAGUUCAAGAAUCCCAGUGGCCCAGUGGGCUCCUCCCUUCUUCCCCUACUGCUGUGAGAGACCCCACCUCCCACCUUACCACUCAAGGCCCUGCUUUGAACUAUGGCAGUGAUGGAUACCUGCUCCUUGAGAAACUGAGCCAGGGCGUGUGCAAGAACUCACCCAGAACGCCUCAUUUUCAUGGGGAGGGUGGUGAGAAAACUGCUCAGGAAGGGACAGAGAAAACACCGAAUGAAUUCCAGAUGUAACCUGAGUUCCUGCAUGUAUUUUUUCAGGUGGCUCAGGACACAUCAUCUUUGUUUCCUAAAAUCCGCUCCUCGUGAGUCUUGAUUGGCUGGUCCCAGGUUCAGUGAUGCAUCAAUGCCCUUGUGAUGCUUAAAUAUUAUAAUAUUUACCAGAUUGUGUGAAAAAGACACAGGUGUCUUCUGCAAGACGGAUAAUAGAAAUAGCAAAAUCUUCAGAGGAAGGGCAAAAUCAUGUCAGGCAGCUCUUUUUCCAGCUCCCUGAAACAAUGGGAAUCAAGAAUAAUGUGGCUAAUCUAAGGCUACAGCAAAUGUUUCUACAAUUAGUUACCUGAAAAGCAGAAGAAGAGGUUUCCCACUUUAUGUUUUACAGAUGGCUGCCCUAAUAAUGUCUUUGAGAGAGAAACAUCUCAAACCUGUAAGAAAAACAAAUAGGUAAUAAACAAAAAAGAAACCUAUGGAUGUAAAGAUUAUACUUAGAACUCUUUGAUAAGUCAGCCAAGCAAUAAGAGCAAAGUUGUCCUAAAAUGUCAGAACACAGAAAAGGAUCCAGGAAGAGAGGAAAGAAGAUAUAAAUUAGAAACCAUAGCAGGUUAAGGCUGUUGCACAAUAUUAAAAGAAUCGUGCUGAAAUGCCAUAAUGGGGGAGGGGGACUGUAAGAGCAAAAGGCAGCAAAAAGCUCCCAAAGGUAGUAAUUCACACAUAUGAUCAUCUAGGAUCUUGUUUUAAAUGUAGACUACUGAGCCUUCGUCCCCGUAAUUUGAAUUCAUAAGGUUUAUAGCACCAGGAAAUGUGCUUCUUUGCAAGUUUUAUAGUGAUUUUGGUGCUAGUAGAUCGUGAGCCACAUUUGAGAAUCCCUUGAUUAUCAUAGCAAAAUGUGAGGGCAAAAUGUGAGGGCAAAAGGAGAUGGAAGGGAGGAAGAAUAUGUGAAUCAGAGAGGGACCAGCUAAGCUUUCCACCCUAUGCUACACAUCAAAUUCUGAAAAUAUGUGGCACCAAAAAUUACUCUCAUUGUAUAUAAUGAACACCAUGCAUGUUUAAGAAGGUUAUAUUUAGUCCAAUACUAGCAAGAAAAAAAUAGCAAGGUGAAGGCUGUUACAGUGAAAGUGAAUGCUCCUCUACAAUUGGGUACCUUUUACUAUAAAUCCUAUCCCCCAUCCUAUAGAAACAAGUUUUUUGUUUUUUUAAUAUUUUGUGCCUUGCUAAUAAAUCAUGGAUGGUCUCAUUGUCAAUUAAACUUCUCUUUCACUCUUUGCAUUAAGGAGGAUUCUGAGAACAAAGAAAAAGUUGUUUUCUUUAGAGGUAUGGGAUCAUUGCAACAAGAAAUAUAAACACUGUGAGAAAAGGGAAAACAUAACACAGAAAAAAGUAUGCUAGAAGGAUGUUCUGGUUAUUAAUUUCUAUGUAACAGCUUACCACCAUCUUAUUGCCUAGAAGCCGCAGCUACUUUAUUGUAUCUCACAAUUGUGUAGUUCAGGAAUUUGGGUGGGGCUCAGCUAAAUAAUUCUUUUGUUCCACCUGGUAUCAAUGGUGGUUGCUGGUGGUAUUUGGGUGGGGGUUGGGCUGGUCUAGUGAGUCCAAGAUGACUCCAUUCCAUGUCUGCCUCCUUGGAGGAAAGAACUAGAAGGCUGGGCUCAGCUGGGGCUGUCAUCUAGAGUGUGUAACUGAUCACCUCUGCAAUGUGACAGGCUCUGGCUAUCUGAACAGAACGAAGAAACUGCCUGCUUUUUAAGGUCUAGAACUGGAAACUGGCACAGUGUCACUUCUGUGCUAUUUUAUUGGUCAAAGUAGUCACAAUGCCCAGAUUCAAGUUCAGAGGACCGACCCCACUGCUCAAGGAGAGGCGUGUCAAGGAAUUUUCACCCAGAUACUUUAAAUCUACCACAAAAAAUGGUUGUGGAGACUCACAUAAAUAUUUCUUUCUUUCCUGGCACAGCAAGGAUCACCAAACAUGUAAUCAUUAUUUUCUCCCCCGCAACCCACAAGGUGAAAAAGUCUUCAAUAGAUGGUUAAACAUAUGAAAUCAGAAUUCAUGCCAUUUACUCUUUUUCCUUAUUAAUACUGUAAGGAGCUCUAGGCAAAGAUCCAAAAUUGUGUUUUGUAUGUAGUGACUCCCUGGUGUAUGUUAAUUUGUUUUGAGGUGUGUUACAAACAGUAUGUUGCUGAUAGUAAUUAAAAAUAAUUUUUCAAAUAAUUAACUUAUUUUAAAAAAUAGAGUUGGGUUCAGUGUUAUUCUCACUCUCAUGAAGAGUUACAUGUACUUCCUAGAAAUCUCCCCGGGUAUGGGUUAAGCCUGUGGGAAUGUUCCAGCAGGUAGAAAUCACCAGGCAUUACUGGUGAUAAGGAAAAUAUUCCUUGAAGAUGUAAUUUUUCAGUUGCGUUCCAAAGAUGAAUAGCAGUUAACUGUGCUAAGAGUUAAGAGUGUUUCAGGCAGAGGGAACAUGUGUAAAAGUCUUGAGGCUGAAAUAGGCUUGUCUUAAACAAAUAGCUUGGGAGAAAAUUAAGAUCUAGGAAAGCUAAAGCAAGCCGGCAGUGAUUUGGGAACACGGCGAAUCACUUGGGCAGAGACCGAAUACUC
Molecule: long non-coding RNA, 3094 nt
Filed under: Sus scrofa (pig)
Lineage: Eukaryota; Metazoa; Chordata; Mammalia; Artiodactyla; Suidae
Description: lncRNA (ENSSSCG00000059040.1)
Source: RNAcentral